UACGUAGGCAGCGAGCGUUGUUCGGAGUUACUGGGCGUAAAGAGUGCGUAGGCGGUUUUCUAAGUUUGGUGUGAAAUCUCCCGGCUUAACUGGGAGGGUGCGCCGAAAACUGGAAGGCUUGAGUAUGGGAGAGGUAAGCGGAAUUCCUGGUGUAGCGGUGAAAUGCGUAGAUAUCAGGAAGAACACCCGUGGCGAAGGCGGCUCUCUGGAACGCAACUGACGCUGAGACGCGAAAGCGUGGGGAGCAAACAGG
Molecule: ribosomal RNA, 253 nt
Filed under: uncultured bacterium
Lineage: Bacteria
Description: partial 16S ribosomal RNA
Rfam family: Bacterial small subunit ribosomal RNA
Source: RNAcentral